This 1344-nucleotide ribosomal RNA is filed under the name uncultured bacterium. RNAcentral's name for it is "16S ribosomal RNA". It matches the Rfam family "Bacterial small subunit ribosomal RNA", at positions 28 to 1378 of the family's 1533-position model. The record is from RNAcentral.
GACGAACGCUGGCGGCGUGCUUAACACAUGCAAGUCGAACGGAAAGGCCCUGCUUUUGUGGGGUGCUCGAGUGGCGAACGGGUGAGUAACACGUGAGUAACCUGCCCUUGACUUUGGGAUAACUUCAGGAAACUGGGGCUAAUACCGGAUAGGAGCUCCUGCUGCAUGGUGGGGGUUGGAAAGUUUCGGCGGUUGGGGAUGGACUCGCGGCUUAUCAGCUUGUUGGUGGGGUAGUGGCUUACCAAGGCUUUGACGGGUAGCCGGCCUGAGAGGGUGACCGGCCACAUUGGGACUGAGAUACGGCCCAGACUCCUACGGGAGGCAGCAGUGGGGAAUAUUGCACAAUGGGCGGAAGCCUGAUGCAGCAACGCCGCGUGCGGGAUGACGGCCUUCGGGUUGUAAACCGCUUUCGCCUGUGACGAAGCGUGAGUGACGGUAAUGGGUAAAGAAGCACCGGCUAACUACGUGCCAGCAGCCGCGGUGAUACGUAGGGUGCGAGCGUUGUCCGGAUUUAUUGGGCGUAAAGGGCUCGUAGGUGGUUGAUCGCGUCGGAAGUGUAAUCUUGGGGCUUAACCCUGAGCGUGCUUUCGAUACGGGUUGACUUGAGGAAGGUAGGGGAGAAUGGAAUUCCUGGUGGAGCGGUGGAAUGCGCAGAUAUCAGGAGGAACACCAGUGGCGAAGGCGGUUCUCUGGGCCUUUCCUGACGCUGAGGAGCGAAAGCGUGGGGAGCGAACAGGCUUAGAUACCCUGGUAGUCCACGCUGUAAACGGUGGGUACUAGGUGUGGGGUCCAUUCCACGGGUUCCGUGCCGUAGCUAACGCUUUAAGUACCCCGCCUGGGGAGUACGGCCGCAAGGCUAAAACUCAAAGGAAUUGACGGGGCCCCGCACAAGCGGCGGAGCAUGCGGAUUAAUUCGAUGCAACGCGUAGAACCUUACCUGGGUUUGACAUGGAUCGGGAGUGCUCAGAGAUGGGUGUGCCUCUUUUGGGGUCGGUUCACAGGUGGUGCAUGGCUGUCGUCAGCUCGUGUCGUGAGAUGUUGGGUUAAGUCCCGCAACGAGCGCAACCCUUGUUCACUGUUGCCAGCACGUUAUGGUGGGGACUCAGUGGAGACCGCCGGGGUCAACUCGGAGGAAGGUGGGGAUGACGUCAAGUCAUCAUGCCCCUUAUGUCCAGGGCUUCACGCAUGCUACAAUGGCUGGUACAGAGAGUGGCGAGCCUGUGAGGGUGAGCGAAUCUCGGAAAGCCGGUCUCAGUUCGGAUUGGGGUCUGCAACUCGACCUCAUGAAGUCGGAGUCGCUAGUAAUCGCAGAUCAGCAACGCUGCGGUGAAUAACGUUCCCGGG